GGGGGAAAGGAACUUCGCAUGGACGAAGUCUGACGGAGCAACGCCGCGUGAGUGAUGAAGGUUUUCGGAUCGUAAAGCUCUGUUGUUAGGGAAGAACAAGUGCAAGAGUAACUGCUUGCACCUUGACGGUACCUAACCAGAAAGCCACGGCUAACUACGUGCCAGCAGCCGCGGUAAUACGUAGGUGGCAAGCGUUGUCCGGAAUUAUUGGGCGUAAAGGGCUCGCAGGCGGUUUCUUAAGUCUGAUGUGAAAGCCCCCGGCUCAACCGGGGAGGGUCAUUGGAAACUGGGAAACUUGAGUGCAGAAGAGGAGAGUGGAAUUCCACGUGUAGCGGUGAAAUGCGUAGAGAUGUGGAGGAACACCAGUGGCGAAGGCGACUCUCUGGUCUGUAACUGACGCUGAGGAGCGAAAGCGUGGGGAGCGAACAGGAUUAGAUACCCUGGUAGUCCACGCCGUAAACGAUGAGUGCUAAGUGUUAGGGGGUUUCCGCCCCUUAGUGCUGCAGCUAACGCAUUAAGCACUCCGCCUGGGGAGUACGGUCGCAAGACUGAAACUCAAAGGAAUUGACGGGGGCCCGCACAAGCGGUGGAGCAUGUGGUUUAAUUCGAAGCAACGCGAAGAACCUUAC
RNAcentral lists this ribosomal RNA (629 nucleotides) under Bacillus pumilus. RNAcentral's name for it is "bacterial SSU rRNA". It matches the Rfam family "Bacterial small subunit ribosomal RNA", at positions 351 to 974 of the family's 1533-position model. Lineage: Bacteria; Bacillati; Bacillota; Bacilli; Caryophanales; Bacillaceae. The record is from RNAcentral.